Brachypodium distachyon (stiff brome) is the source of this 136-nucleotide non-coding RNA. The record is from Rfam. Lineage: Eukaryota; Viridiplantae; Streptophyta; Magnoliopsida; Poales; Poaceae.
UUAUUACUCCCUCCGUCCUACAACAGAUGUCUCAAUUUUGAUUAAAUUUGAAUGCAUCUAUACACUAAGUCAUGUCUAGAUACAUCCAAAUUUUGACAAACUUGAGACAUCUUUUGUUGGACGGAAGAAUAAUAAU